RNAcentral lists this ribosomal RNA (468 nucleotides) under uncultured bacterium. RNAcentral's name for it is "partial 16S ribosomal RNA". It matches the Rfam family "Bacterial small subunit ribosomal RNA", at positions 28 to 507 of the family's 1533-position model. The record is from RNAcentral.
GACGAACGCUGGCGGCGUGCUUAACACAUGCAAGUCGAACGGAAAGGCCCUGCUUUUGUGGGGUGCUCGAGUGGCGAACGGGUGAGUAACACGUGAGUAACCUGCCCUUGACUUUGGGAUAACUUCAGGAAACUGGGGCUAAUACCGGAUAGGAGCUCCUGCUGCAUGGUGGGGGUUGGAAAGUUUCGGCGGUUGGGGAUGGACUCGCGGCUUAUCAGCUUGUUGGUGGGGUAGUGGCUUACCAAGGCUUUGACGGGUAGCCGGCCUGAGAGGGUGACCGGCCACAUUGGGACUGAGAUACGGCCCAGACUCCUACGGGAGGCAGCAGUGGGGAGCAUUGCACAAUGGGCGGAAGCCUGAUGCAGCAACGCCGCGUGCGGGAUGACGGCCUUCGGGUUGUAAACCGCUUUCGCCUGUGACGAAGCGUGAGUGACGGUAAUGGGUAAAGAAGCACCGGCUAACUACGUG